UAAAAGUUGACAAAGCACUUGCUUUUUCUUUUUAUUUGUUUUUCCCUUCAGAAUUUGAACAUUUCAUUUCAGGAUUUGGGGGACCCUUAUCAAGUUGCAAAUUUUAACAGGAUUCUUAGAAGACUCAUUCGAGUUGAAACCCUCUGGUUAGUGGAUAAUUCACUGGUGGAUUUAAGUGCCAUAAGAUUGCCAAGCUGCAGAGUUUUAAAUAUGAACAAAAAUCAUCUCACAUCUUUCAAACAAUUGCCAAAGAUACCACAGAUACAGCAUUUAUUCUUGGCUGAAAACCAUAUUGAGACUCUGACCGGGCUUUCCAGUUUACAGUGCACACCACUAGAAUCCCUCACGCUCAAGAGGAACCCUUGUGAGUUUCACCAAAACUACCGGAAACAAGUAUUCUCCUGUUUGCCAAACUUAAAAAUGCUGGAUGGGAUCCUGAAGUUACCAGAAGACUCUCCACCACCAGAAACCAAUAUUUUUUCAAAAGUCUGUAUUAUAUCCUAAUGUACUCUCUAUAGAAAGAAUCACCAUUGUCUUUAAAAGUUAAUAAACAGGAAAUUCAUGAUUAAAUAUUAUGACUUCAUAUAUAUACACACACACACAUAUUAUAUAUUUAUAUAUUGCUUUCUAUUAAA
Sus scrofa (pig) is the source of this 635-nucleotide non-coding RNA. Lineage: Eukaryota; Metazoa; Chordata; Mammalia; Artiodactyla; Suidae. The record is from RefSeq and is a predicted model, not a curated record.